ACGGAUAAAAAUAAUCAAAGGGAUUAAUCUAACGGCAGAAAAUUUGAUAGCACCAAGUACUUGGUGUUCUCGAUAGCAUGGCAGUCGGACUCUAUAUGAGUCCGGCUAUGGUGCUUGUAAAAGCACCAAGCACUUGGUGCUUGUAAAUUUUUUACCAUUAGAUCUACGUCUUUGAUUAUUUUUAACCGUUAGAUUUUACUAUUCAACCAACCACCCACUCAACCCUAGAAGGCCCACAUCAUCCUAACCAUACAUCCCGUAAUCCAGCGGUAAAAAAUCUAUAAGCACCAAUAACUUAGUACUUUUAAAAGCAUAGGAGUUCAAUUCUAUAUAUAUAUAUAUUGAGUGUGGCAUCUAUACUCUUAUGAGUAUAGAUUUUUUUGUACUUAUAAAUUUUCGACCGUUAGAUCUAUUCAUUUGACCAUUUCUAUCCGUUUGAUCAUACUAUUCAACUAACUAUCCACUCAACCUUAGGGGACCACUAUUAUCCUAACCUCGCAUCUCUUCAUUCAACAGUUAAAAAUUUAUAAGUAUGAAAAGAUCUAUACUCAUAAAAAUAUAGUAGUCCUAAUCUAUAUAUAUUAAUAUUUUGGUGCACAUACUUUUAAUUAGUUUAUUAUAU
This 622-nucleotide long non-coding RNA is filed under the name Ananas comosus (pineapple). RNAcentral describes it as "long non-coding RNA (ACOM_LNC008394)". Lineage: Eukaryota; Viridiplantae; Streptophyta; Magnoliopsida; Poales; Bromeliaceae. The record is from RNAcentral.